GAUGAACGCUAGCGACAGGCUUAACACAUGCAAGUCGAGGGGCAUCGGGACGUAGCAAUACGUUGCCGGCGACCGGCGGAUGGGUGAGUAACGCGUAUGCAACCUGCCCACGACAGGGGGACAGCCCGUUGAAAGACGGAUUAAUACCCCAUAAAACAGGGGUUCCGCAUGGGACUAUUUGUUAAAGGGUUUUCCGCGAGGGGGAUCCGGUUGUGGAUGGGCAUGCGUUCCAUUAGGCAGUUGGUGAGGUAACGGCUCACCAAACCGACGAUGGAUAGGGGAACCGGGAGGUUGGUCCCCCACACUGGUACUGAGAUACGGACCAGACUCCUACGGGAGGCAGCAGUGAGGAAUUUUGGCAAUGGACGGAAGUCUGAACCAGCCAAGUCGCGUGAAGGAAGGCGGCCCUAAGGGUUGUAAACUUCUUUUGUAAGGGAAUAAAGGCCGGUACGUGUUACCGGUUUGCAGGUACCUUACGAAUAAGGAUCGGCUAACUCCGUG
Molecule: ribosomal RNA, 501 nt
Filed under: uncultured bacterium
Lineage: Bacteria
Description: bacterial SSU rRNA
Rfam family: Bacterial small subunit ribosomal RNA
Source: RNAcentral